GUGCUAGGGUUUCUCCGCUCGUCGUCGUCGGCUCUCAGGUUAUUCUACUCCCCCUACUUCUGAGUGCUAGGUUGCCUCCCACCUCCUGCUCCGGCCGUCCUUAAAUCCACUUAUUUUGAGCCUCUGCUUUCAAGAACUCAAGUUUGCUUAAAGAUUAUUUAUAAUAGCCUAGGCUUCUUGAAGAAAAUUCCAACUACAAGCAGUAUCACAGAAUUGUCACCAAAAUCUUUCUUCAGCUGAACUAUGCCAUGAUUUUAUAGUUUUACAAGCUUAACUUGCAGAAGGGUUUAGAAUGUGUUAUAUCCACAUAUGUACAAAAUUGGACAUACCAUACUGACCAUCUGACUGCAUAUCAUAUUGUUCAUGGGCAGCGCCUAUCGUAGCCCUCUGUUACCCAGGAUUUAUCUUUUGGUGAUGUUCGAUGGACUUGUAUUUAAUUAGGUAACACCAUAUGUAGAGAUAUGUGCGCAUCUUAGACAUCCUUAAAACUCUU
RNAcentral lists this long non-coding RNA (493 nucleotides) under Phoenix dactylifera (date palm). RNAcentral's name for it is "long non-coding RNA (PDAC_LNC022107)". The record is from RNAcentral. Lineage: Eukaryota; Viridiplantae; Streptophyta; Magnoliopsida; Arecales; Arecaceae.